GAAAGAUGUUCAAGUGUGAGUUUAGUGAUGGAGGAGCUUCUUUUCAACUUGGGUAUUCAGGUGUGCUGAUGGUUAAGAAAUCAUGUAAGAUGUGGUCCCUGCUCUCACAGUCUCACAGGAUAGCUGCUCUUAUGUCUGAAGGCACAAGGCCAUCACCCCAAGUACGUGCAUACCUGCUGAAUGUGCAGAUGUACUUCCUUGUAUAGAGCUCCAGAGCUUGCGUUUUAAACAAGGACUCUUGUGAUUCUGAUGCUGAUGUUUCAGCUACUUGGAGGCUGAGGUCUGACUGCUAGAUUCAACCACAUGGUUUUUACAGUGCUCACUUGCUGUGUGUCCUGGGGUUACAGAGGCACGUGAAACAUGACCCCUGCCUUGAUGGAUGAAGCAUGUGUGAACAAAGAGGCACAAAGAGCCCCAAGUCCAGUUUCACACAUUGGUGAAGAGCUGGGUCUUCGUGUGGAGCUGGAAAGGAGGAAGGAGGUUCUGCAGUCUCACAUCUGAGGCCUAUAGGAGAGUUUAUCAAAUAAUCUGGCCCAAGAAUUGCUCCUCUGUGGAAGACUACUUUCUGUGACCAUGGCAGACAUCAUGCACUAUCCUGAGACUCUUCUGAGCCAGAGGAAGUUUAAAAUCUUUUUGAACGAAGCGAACCAGGAGCCACUGCUAGAUUCUGGCUAUCUGAAUCCUUUUCUUACCCCUCUUGGAUAUUUCAUGCCUCAAAAAUCUCAGGUUCUUCUAGCUUUCCCCGACAGUGGGCUAGACUAUCUGGAUCUGAUUACCCAUUGAGGAAAAAAUCUACAGGUCCUCUUAAAGGCAUUAAUAGAUAACAAGAUAGUAUAAAAUUACCAGAAAAAUUAAUUAAGGGAAAACAUGCGAGGGAAAGACUUUUUGCCAUAAGGGCAUUGGCC
RNAcentral lists this long non-coding RNA (905 nucleotides) under Heterocephalus glaber (naked mole-rat). RNAcentral's name for it is "lncRNA (ENSHGLG00000035744.1)". Lineage: Eukaryota; Metazoa; Chordata; Mammalia; Rodentia; Bathyergidae. The record is from RNAcentral.